This 384-nucleotide ribosomal RNA is filed under the name uncultured eukaryote. Its description in RNAcentral is "partial 18S ribosomal RNA". It matches the Rfam family "Eukaryotic small subunit ribosomal RNA", at positions 592 to 976 of the family's 1831-position model. The record is from RNAcentral.
CAAUAGCGUAUAUUAAAGUUGUUGCAGUUAAAAAGCUCGUAGUUGGAUUUCUGGUUGAGUGCGCCUGGCCCGCCUCGUUUCGAGUGUGAGUGCCGGUGCGCGCUUGCCAUCCUCUCAGAUUGGCUUCGCUCUUCACUGAACGGAGCUACGAUCUGGGUCGUUUACUUUGAAAAAAAUAGAGUGUUUAAAGCAGGCUUUUGCUGUGAAUACAUUAGCAUGGAAUAAUAAUCUAGGACUUCGGUUCUAUUUUGUUGGUUUCUAGUUCUGAAGUAAUGAUUGAUAGGGAUAGUUGGGGGUGCUAGUAUUCAGCGGCCAGAGGUGAAAUUCUUGGAUUCGCUGAAGACUAACUUAUGCGAAAGCAUUCACCAAGGAUGUCUUCUUUAA